RNAcentral lists this long non-coding RNA (1194 nucleotides) under Vigna radiata. Its description in RNAcentral is "long non-coding RNA (VRAD_LNC018543)". The record is from RNAcentral. Lineage: Eukaryota; Viridiplantae; Streptophyta; Magnoliopsida; Fabales; Fabaceae.
UGAGAAUCGUUGGCGUGGUGGAAGGAAAGUUGCAACUGUACAGAAUUCUUCUUCUCUUUCUCUGUGAUCAUGUUUGCAGCGUGGUGGUUGAAAGCGUGGUGGUGGAAGGAGAUACGUGAGCGCCAGAGAGGUACGUAAUUCACUAUUAAAAAUAGCCUAAACCCUUAAACGGAUCUGAUUAUCCGUCAACGAAUGUCAACAUCCGUUUAGGGUGAAACGGAUGUACGACAUCCGUUAAGGUCUGUCUUCUUCCUCCCACACACACACAAACCUCUACCAGAAACAUCAGAGCACAAAACGAAACGAAGCAAAACAACAAUCUCGCACAAACAGAGAAAAAAUCAAUACAAUCUUAAAUCCUAAAUCACAUACAUUUACAAACCAAGAAAUCAACAUAAUCAUGCACAAUGAAAACUAGCCUCUCGUUGACGGUAGAAACAAAAUGAAGCAACAACCACCGCGCCGCACCGCCGCACAUAACCGCUGGACCGCCGCACACACCAAAAGCUAACAAAGCAGAGGAAGAGAUGACUGGAAAAGUUGAAAACUUUUAGAAAAUGAAAGGUGGAGCGUGGUUGUGAGAAUGCGAAGGGAAGGGAGGUGGGGCUCUCUUUCGAAAGUAUGUGAAAGUGAAAGCUGAAGUAGAAAGUAAAGUAAAAAUUAGGGUUACUUAAUUAAAAGGGUUAAAAAAGUAAAAUAAAAAAAUAAAAAAAGGUUAAUUUUGUAAUUAGGGAAAAGUUAAAAAAAAAUGGGGAGGUGGAGGGAUCAAUGCUCCCAACUGAAUCUAAAGGUAAGUCUGUUUUUAUUUUAGUGGGCCUGUAUGAGUUUAGGAUCCAUGAGGUGACUUAUAAAUAUAAGGUCAAGGCCAACAACUAAGUACGCUCUAUUAAGUUCACAAUACUCAAUUAUAAUAAAUUCAAACAACAUUCAUUUGUGAGUAAAACCUCCUUCAACAGACACCUAACUUGAGCGUUGGAGUGCCUUUGCAGGUGCCUCUCCUCCUCGGUCAAGAUUAAAGUCCACCGAAUGACCAAUUCUGAAAACAAUUGAGCGGCCCAGACUGAAAGUAGACAAGUGAAGCACACAACUCAAAUGUCGAAGUCACGUCAGAAAGGCUAGUAUAUCAGUCCCAUAAAAUAUCUACUGAAACAAAAACUAUUCAGUGUUUUCUCCUAUUUUACAUUAUGUACAUUU